AAGUCCCUUCGGGAAUGCCAGUUUUGACAGAAGGCCAAUUACAGCAAACAAACUUUUACAUUUCACGCAUAGAAAUCC
Molecule: transfer RNA, 78 nt
Filed under: Citrobacter phage Mijalis
Lineage: Duplodnaviria; Heunggongvirae; Uroviricota; Caudoviricetes; Andersonviridae
Description: tRNA-Glu
Source: RNAcentral